AACGAACGCUGGCGGCAUGCCUAACACAUGCAAGUCGAACGAGACCUUCGGGUCUAGUGGCGCACGGGUGCGUAACGCGUGGGAACCUGCCCUUAGGUUCGGAAUAACUCCCCGAAAGGGGUGCUAAUACCGGAUAAUGUCUUCGGACCAAAGAUUUAUCGCCUUUGGAUGGGCCCGCGUUGGAUUAGCUAGUUGGUAGGGUAAAAGCCUACCAAGGCGACGAUCCAUAGCUGGUCUGAGAGGAUGAUCAGCCACACUGGGACUGAGACACGGCCCAGACCCAGCGGGGAGGCAGGAGGGGGGAUUAUGGGAAGAGGCGCGAAAGAUUGACAAACCAGUGCCGGGGGAGGGAUGAGGGCAGGAGGGUUGGAAUUUUCUUGUCCCAGGGAUGAAAAUGACAGCGGCGGAAAAAUCAGCCCCGGCUAACCCCGGG
This 433-nucleotide ribosomal RNA is filed under the name uncultured bacterium. RNAcentral describes it as "partial 16S ribosomal RNA". It matches the Rfam family "Bacterial small subunit ribosomal RNA", at positions 29 to 507 of the family's 1533-position model. The record is from RNAcentral.